UGCACCCUCUCCACGGGCUCUGCCUCCACGGGCUCUGCCUCCACGCGCUCUACCUCCACGACCUCUGCCUCCUGCAGCUCCAGCUCCUCGGACAGCAGCAAAGGCUACUCCCUGGGUACCGAUGAAUGCGCUGGAUCUAAUAAGAUCCAGCGCCCUCUCAGUGAGGGAUCGGGCAUGCGUGCCAACUGCAAGAGCAUCUGGCACCUCCAGUGACUGCUCCAACAAGUCCACGACCCGACGCACAACCGUCUGCAAAAAUAAUGUACAUAAAUGUG
Molecule: long non-coding RNA, 275 nt
Filed under: Lotus japonicus
Lineage: Eukaryota; Viridiplantae; Streptophyta; Magnoliopsida; Fabales; Fabaceae
Description: long non-coding RNA (LJAP_LNC001391)
Source: RNAcentral